UUCCUCAACGUCUUCAGUUAAACUACCUUUAAUUCCUCAAUCAAGGCAUACCACACAAUGUUAUCUACACUUUGCAGUAAAGGACUCUGAGUGGCUGGUGUUUUUUGCUUAGUGUAACCAUUACACAACAGUAUGUACUUGUCACCCCUGGCCUCCUAAAAAAAAUCCAGAAUUUAUUAUCUUGACCUUAGGUGCCAAAUGAGGCUGGCAAGGCUUUCUCCUGGGGUAAGAUCGUAGGUGGUUAGGAGUAAAUAAAACCCCAGCUUUGUGACUCUGUAUGACAUCACACACUUUCAGCCUAGCAUUGCCAACUACUAGGCACAUUACCCUGAGCUUCUUGUAACAAAGGUAGUGAUGUUCAUUUUAAAAAUAUCAAGAAACAGAUUAAUAAAAUUCAGAAUAUGAUUAUCUGCUUCUCAUUAUUGGGCUAUGCGAAAACACAGCCGACCUGGCCCAGUUCCAGGAACAACAUUGACAUGGUGUUAAAUCCAGAGAAGAUAGCCCCAAGUUAGAGAACAAAGUUGCUCUGCAUAAUAAAUUUCCCAAUUCUCCUCACAAAGUCCAGAAGAGCAACCAGGAGAGCAAAAGAAAAACUGAGUAUAGAAAAGUAGGAAAAAAAAAUCAGAAU
Molecule: long non-coding RNA, 628 nt
Organism: Homo sapiens (human)
Lineage: Eukaryota; Metazoa; Chordata; Mammalia; Primates; Hominidae
Exons: 3
Source: RefSeq, a predicted model, not a curated record